Molecule: ribosomal RNA, 306 nt
Filed under: uncultured bacterium
Lineage: Bacteria
Description: bacterial SSU rRNA
Rfam family: Bacterial small subunit ribosomal RNA
Source: RNAcentral
AUUGAACGCUGGCGGCAUGCCUUACACAUGCAAGUCGAACGGCAGCGGGCCUUCGGGUGCCGGCGAGUGGCGAACGGUGAGUAAUGCAUCGGAACGUGCCAUUGAUGGGGGAUAACGUAGCGAAAGUUACGCUAAUACCGCAUAUUCUGUGAGCAGGAAAGCAGGGGACCGCAAGGCCUUUGCGCUCUUUGAGCGGCCGAUGUCAGAUUAGCUAGUUGGUGAGGUAAAGGCUUACCAAGGCGACGAUCUGUAGCGGGUCUGAGAGGAUGGAUCGCACACUGGAACUGAGACAGGUCCAGACUCCUA